CACAAUUAAACAUUGCCAGAGCCAGCUCCCAACUGAGUUGCAAAGAAAGAUGUAAACACACACACACACACACACACACACACACACACACAAAGACCCACCACACUCACACACUUUUCAAGCUGAAAAGAAAAUUAAUCAAAAGCCCAGUGAAUGCCUGAACUCUAUAAUUAAGCCUAAAUGAUCCUUCGAUAGAAAGGGAGCUGAGUGAGCCAGCUCAGUGCCCACAGAUAUUUUUACCUCAGAGUCUUAUUGCCAUUAAUUUCUUUUGAGAUCUUGUGUACAUCUGGUUCCAUUCCCUGGUAUGACAUCUGCCUGUGGAAGGUCUUCCAGAGAGUUGCCAGUUCAUUGGCCAGAGGACAGCCAAGGUUGUUCGGUCAUUUUCAGAAUGCAUCCUGGGAGAUGGGGUAGCAUUGCCUCUCCCUCUUCCCCAACAACUGUGACCCUUCCCUGGACAGAUCAAGAUAGUCGGAUCAUGUCCAGAUGUCUAAAGCAUCGCCUGAGAGAUGACAUUGUCACCUUGGUAGAGCCAUGGGGUCUGGAGCUGGUUGCAGACCCUCAGGUCUCUUCUACUUGGCAACCCCAAACCAGCUCAGGGAAACCCUUCUGCUGCCAGUCUCCACUCCCCCGUGCCACCUUGCUGGAGAGGCCUAAACACUGAGCAGCGAUGGAAAGAAAGGCGAUUACUGUACAGCCCCACAGGAAGCAGCUCAGGGGAGAAUUCCUGGUAGGAACGCCAAGAGACCUUUUGGAAAGGCUGAGCCUCAGGUUUGGGCCAGACUUGAAAUCCCUGCCCAAUUCACUGAGUUUAAGUGGCCAGCGAAACCAGCUUGUUCUUCCUGUCACAGACUCAGGCCAGAGAUAGGGAGAAAAUCUUGUGUACUCAGAGCUUUCUCUACUGGCCUGACUGCUCCUGUCAUUGUGGCUGGCACCUCACAAUUUGGAGCAGUAUAGAUUUGUCAUGUCUCCUAGUAGACAAGGCAAAGCCCAGCAAGCAGAACCACAUGGCAGAGACUAAGGAGGAGGAAAUGAGCACUGGCUGGUGGCUCCAGAAGCUGAAGCCCUGGACAGCUGGUUUCCAUUAAAUCGCGUGCCAUCCUGCCUGUCUCCUCGCCACCCUCCCAUCCUGUGACCAGUCCCUCCUAUCCAGUACCCUACCAUGUGCCCAACUGGGCCGACUGGUUGGCUGGUGGCGGGCUGUGUUGAAUUGGGAGUUAUGCCUGCUGUAUCUUUUUUGUGUGUGGAAAGAUUGGGUUCAUCCAGACCUCAAGUCCAUCCCAAACCCACCCGGUGAAGCCUCCCAAGGACAAAGAGCUGGUCAGCCUGGGCUUCAAUAUCUAACAUGGCCCAGCCUUGGUUCCCAAACCCUGCCUCCUGUCCCUACACAGUCUUGGGUAGGAAACAGAGGAAGGUGUGGACUCCCCUGCUCCUCCCCCUCCACGUGGGUGGCCAGUGUUAAUAAUCUCUUGUGCUUUCUCCAAGGUCUCCAAUCCUUGGAGAGCCAGGGCCAAAGCAGUGCUUUCCCCUACCAUGGCCAGGCUGAGUGCCUUCCAGUGGCCAAGGGUAGAGUGUACAUGAUCAGAAUUAGUGGAACAAGUGGAGAACUCCCCUAAGAGAACAAAAAUGUUGUGAUUGUUUUAUUUAUUGCUUUAUUUAUCGGCAUACCUACUGACUUAAUUUACUUAUGAAAUAUGUAUUUAUUCUACAGCAGAAAGUCCACUUCCCUCUUUGAAGCAUCAAUCCCAGAAUGUGUCUUCUUGGCCCCCGUAGAGCACAGUGAAUUAUUCCUCUUGGAAGACACAGGAAAAAGAGGGGAAAGUCUCUCCUUAUGCCCAAACACUUCCACCCCAGCCAGAUUUUUCAACCAGAAAUGACAUUAGAAAACACCAGCUAGAAGGCUGUAAAGCCACCACCCAAAUCAGCACAGGCUCGACUGUCUAGACCGAAACUCUGAGAAUCCUCUCAACCCACUCCCCUUGUACCUAUGCUCCCCUUCAACUCUUUCCCUGACUAGAGUCCUCAUCCUGCUUUGGGGCCAUAUCCUUAUCACCAGGUGCACAUUAGAAUCAUCUGAGGAGCUAGAAAGAGUGUCCAUGCCUGAUGUCCUCUCCAAAACAGUUACAGCAGAAUCUCCAAGGGUAGAUGUCAGGCAUCCGUGCUUUCUAAGUUCCCCCAGAUAACUCCAAUGUGAAAAUAGGGUUAAGAAGUAUUUCUGGUGUCUUCCGUUCUUCACCCCUCUCCACAACCCAGAACCCAUCCUCCUGUCAUUCCCAAGCUUCCUCUAGAGUCCUCUUCCCAUUCCUCCAGCUGACUUCCUCCCUGACAGAUCCCUGGAGUGGUAGCAGGUCCCCGGAGCCAAAUGCUGAGAGUGGGGUCUGCUCCCAGGUAGGUGAUUUCCAACUUUUCUAGGAGCAGAAACCUGUCCCCUGCCUGGAUUCUCUCUCCACCUGUGCCUCCCCCAGUCUCCCAAACUCUAGAAGUUUAAAAGGGCACAUCAUUGACAUUCCUGUCUCCAAGUCCCAAUCCUAACGGUAAGACUCAUGCCAGUUUUUAUAAUCCAAGGCUUGGCCAUUUCUGCUGUUCCAUCUCAAUAACAGAAGGUCUACUGGUGACCAAGGAAGGGGUCCCAUUGCCCCCAAGCUAAGUCCUUUGUCCAAAAUCCUGGCGGCAGCCACCACACAUCCAAAUCCUAGAUGGCUGAGAAGAGGCGUCUCACCCUUGACAUUUAUGAGAGCCACACUGCUGAGUGUGAGUAAAUGUGUGUGUAAAUGUAUGUGUGCAUGUGUACAUAUGCAUACACUGUCUGCCUGUUCACUAUCUAGGUCUAUAGAGAUACUAAUUUCAACUUUACAGUGAUGACAUUUUCCAUGAAAGCAAUUGAGGACUUUGCUGUCUUUCACUCACUGGAGUUGUACUAUUUCAGGAUGGGCUCAAGUGAAUCUUAUAUUCUAUAUAUACGCAGAAUGUUGUAAUAUUAAAAACUGCUGGGCACACUACACACACACACACACACACACACACACACACACAGCACCUAUGGAAGCCUGUGCUGUGGGAAGAGCUCAUUUUGUUAACCUUCAUCCCCCGUCUAAGUACUUUCCUGGGACAAGCACCAUGUUGCACCCCUCAGCUGCCUGGCCCCUCCCCAUCCUUCAUUCAUACCACCAGGCAUCCUUUUCCAACUCAUUCAUCAGAAUGUCCCUGCCCCAAGUCCCAUCUCUCAGGGUCCUGCUCUCUGACAGGUGGCAAUUCAGCAGUGGGUGCUAAAGAGUUGAGUGUUAGUUUCCCAGGUGACAUUUAUGUUUUAAAGGGGCUACAGAUAAUGCCUUAAUCCAGAGGAGAGCUGUAGUGGUGGAAAUUCCAGGCACAGAAGUGGGCUGGUAAGGGAGCUUUUUUUUUUUUUUGGUACCAGGGAUCAAACUCGGGACCUUGUGCUUUUGAGACAGGUGGUGGAACCACUGAGCUGAAUCCCUGGCCCCAGGAGCUUAUUUUUAUCAGAGGGCAUUUCAGAGCCCCCCACAUCAUACCCGUCUCUCAGAUCAGCCCUUCCUAAGCACGUAAGCACAAGAAAGCACACUUACUGAUAUAGAUGUUCCAGAAUUUUGAGAUACCUCCCUUACAUUGGCCCUGUCUUAAAAAUGAAAAAAGAAAAAAAAAAACAGUUAAAUUAAUUUAAACCUCCUUGGGUAAUGUAGCUUAUUUUUCACCAGGCACUAGCCAUCUGGUCUACCCCACCCUGUUCCAGUUUCUUCCUGCUCCUUGUGUUUUCUGCUACAGCCGCAUCUGUUAAUUUGGUCAUAUAUGUCCACUCUGCUGUCUCCUUUCCUGCUCUCCCCCAUAUGUCCGUCCUUCCCUGCUUCCCCCUGGAAUUGUCCUGUUUGUCGGUGUUGUCGAGGACAGAAGAGCAGGUUAAGCGCAUGAGCAUGUGUGUAUCACUUUGAAGAAAGAGAAACCAGGUAUUCUGCUACAGUUCGGAGAAAAACCCAAUGAAGGGAGAGAUGAAAGCUGGCUCUGCAGAGUGCCUUAAAAUGACUUUACUUAGGAAAUUCUGAGUUGUCAGUCUUUGGAUGUUACAUGAACUCAACAGAUGUUGCAUUUCACUUCUCUGGGAUUAAAAAAAGUUAAAUACAGUAUGAUUCAACAAUGACAACAAAGUAUAUUUUCUCUUUAAUUUGUUCCUUAAAUAUGUAGUGUCUGAUU
This 4200-nucleotide long non-coding RNA is filed under the name Heterocephalus glaber (naked mole-rat). Its description in RNAcentral is "lncRNA (ENSHGLG00100035072.1)". Lineage: Eukaryota; Metazoa; Chordata; Mammalia; Rodentia; Bathyergidae. The record is from RNAcentral.